AGUGGGAUAACUGGGUUAAAUGAUGGUUCCAUUCCAAGUUUAUUAAGGAAUCUCCAUACUGCUUUCCAAAGUGAUUGUACCAUUUUGCAGUCCCAUCAGCAAU
RNAcentral lists this microRNA precursor (103 nucleotides) under Marmota monax (woodchuck). Lineage: Eukaryota; Metazoa; Chordata; Mammalia; Rodentia; Sciuridae. The record is from RNAcentral.